CACUCCUGCGGGAGGCAGCAGUGGGGAAUAUUGGACAAUGGGCGCAAGCCUGAUCCAGCCAUGCCGCGUGAGUGAUGAAGGCCCUAGGGUUGUAAAGCUCUUUCACCGGUGAAGAUAAUGACGGUAACCGGAGAAGAAGCCCCGGCUAACUUCGUGCCAGCAGCCGCGGUAAUACGAAGGGGGCUAGCGUUGUUCGGAUUUACUGGGCGUAAAGCGCACGUAGGCGGACUAUUAAGUCAGGGGUGAAAUCCCGGGGCUCAACCCCGGAACUGCCUUUGAUACUGGUAGUCUUGAGUUCGAGAGAGGUGAGUGGAAUUCCGAGUGUAGAGGUGAAAUUCGUAGAUAUUCGGAGGAACACCAGUGGCGAAGGCGGCUCACUGGCUCGAUACUGACGCUGAGGUGCGAAAGCGUGGGGAGCAAACAGGAUUAGAAACUCCAGUAGUCCCAUGAU
Molecule: ribosomal RNA, 451 nt
Filed under: uncultured organism
Description: partial 16S ribosomal RNA
Rfam family: Bacterial small subunit ribosomal RNA
Source: RNAcentral